GAUGAACGCUGGCGGCGUGCCUAAUACAUGCAAGUCGAGCGAACGGACGAGAAGCUUGCUUCUCUGAUGUUAGCGGCGGACGGGUGAGUAACACGUGGAUAACCUACCUAUAAGACUGGGAUAACUUCGGGAAACCGUAGCUAAUACCGGAUAAUAUUUUGAACCGCAUGGUUCAAAAGUGAAAGACGGUCUUGCUGUCACUUAUAGAUGGAUCCGCGCUGCAUUAGCUAGUUGGUAAGGUAACGGCUUACCAAGGCAACGAUGCAUAGCCGACCUGAGAGGGUGAUCGGCCACACUGGAACUGAGACACGGUCCAGACUCCUACGGGAGGCAGCAGUAGGGAAUCUUCCGCAAUGGGCGAAAGCCUGACGGAGCAACGCCGCGUGAGUGAUGAAGGUCUUCGGAUCGUAAAACUCUGUUAUUAGGGAAGAACAUAUGUGUAAGUAACUGUGCACAUCUUGACGGUACCUAAUCAGAAAGCCACGGCUAACUGCGU
RNAcentral lists this ribosomal RNA (496 nucleotides) under uncultured bacterium. Its description in RNAcentral is "partial 16S ribosomal RNA". It matches the Rfam family "Bacterial small subunit ribosomal RNA", at positions 28 to 506 of the family's 1533-position model. The record is from RNAcentral.